CAGGCCUAACACAUGCAAGUCGAACGAGAAAGUGGAGCAAUCCAUGAGUAAAGUGGCGACCGGGUGAGUAACACGUGACUAACCUACCCUCGAGUGGGGAAUAACUCCGGGAAACCGGAGCUAAUACCGCAUAACAUCUUCGGAACUCGGGUUCUGUUGAUCAAAGGAGCAAUUCGCUUGAGGAGGGAGUCGCGGCUGAUUAGCUAGUUGGCGGGGUAAUGGCCCACCAAGGCUUAGAUCGGUAGCCGGCCUGAGAGGGCGCACGGCCACACUGGAACUGAAACACGGUCCAGACUCCUACGGGAGGCAGCAGUGGGGAAUUUUGCGCAAUGGGGGAAACCCUGACGCAGCAACGCCGCGUGGAGGAUGAAGCCCCUUGGGGUGUAAACUCCUUUCGAUCGGGACGAUUAUGACGGUACCGGAUGAAGAAGCACCGGCUAACUCUGUGCCAGCAGCCGCGGUAAUAC
This 467-nucleotide ribosomal RNA is filed under the name uncultured Acidobacteriota bacterium. RNAcentral describes it as "bacterial SSU rRNA". It matches the Rfam family "Bacterial small subunit ribosomal RNA", at positions 43 to 526 of the family's 1533-position model. Lineage: Bacteria; Pseudomonadati; Acidobacteriota. The record is from RNAcentral.